GACAGCAGCCGCCGCGGUAAUACAAAGGGGGCUAGCGUUGUUCGGAAUUAUUGGGCGUAAAGGGUGCGUAGGCGGUUUGAUAAGUCAUCUGUGAAAUCUCUGGGCUCAACCCAGAGUCUGCAGGCGAAACUGUCGGGCUUGAGUAUGGGAGAGGUGAGUGGAAUUUCCGGUGUAGCGGUGAAAUGCGUAGAUAUCGGAAGGAACACCUGUGGCGAAAGCGGCUCACUGGACCAUAACUGACGCUGAUGCACGAAAGCUAGGGGAGCAAACAGGAUUAGAUACCCCCGUAGUCCCUGUCUCUUAUAC
RNAcentral lists this ribosomal RNA (306 nucleotides) under uncultured bacterium. Its description in RNAcentral is "partial 16S ribosomal RNA". It matches the Rfam family "Bacterial small subunit ribosomal RNA", at positions 507 to 807 of the family's 1533-position model. The record is from RNAcentral.